This 291-nucleotide unclassified non-coding RNA is filed under the name Hevea brasiliensis (rubber tree). Lineage: Eukaryota; Viridiplantae; Streptophyta; Magnoliopsida; Malpighiales; Euphorbiaceae. The record is from RNAcentral.
GCUGGAAGCAGCUUUAUUUGCAGUAAAAGAAACUGAGAGCACCAUCAUUUGCUUUACAUUAUAGACGAUGAAAACUCACUCUUAAAUUAAAAGCUCCUAAUUUUCUGCUACAAGCAACAGCUGACUUGAGAACAUGAUAUCCAGUGCUUUAAAUGCCUGGGAUCAACUCCCACAUCCCUGAACAAAUCUAGUAAGAAAGGGUGUGGCCAAAUGAAACACAUGCUAACCAAAACCAGAUUUUCCCCUUUUCAUACAUGCCACCAUUUUCGAUUCUCCAUUGCCUUAACAAGC